CUACAGAGGGUGCAAGCGUUAAUCGGAAUUACUGGGCGUAAAGCGCACGUAGGUGGUUCAUUAAGUCAGAUGUGAAAGCCCCGGGCUCAACCUGGGAACUGCAUUUGAAACUGGUGAGCUAGAGUAUGGUAGAGGUAAGUGGAAUUCCAGGUGUAGCGGUGAAAUGCGUAGAUAUCUGGAGGAACAUCAGUGGCGAAGGCGACUUACUGGACCAAUACUGACACUGAGGUGCGAAAGCGUGGGGAGCAAACAGGAUUAGAAACCCUAGUAGUCC
This 274-nucleotide ribosomal RNA is filed under the name uncultured bacterium. RNAcentral describes it as "partial 16S ribosomal RNA". It matches the Rfam family "Bacterial small subunit ribosomal RNA", at positions 523 to 796 of the family's 1533-position model. The record is from RNAcentral.